RNAcentral lists this ribosomal RNA (453 nucleotides) under uncultured bacterium. Its description in RNAcentral is "bacterial SSU rRNA". It matches the Rfam family "Bacterial small subunit ribosomal RNA", at positions 52 to 507 of the family's 1533-position model. The record is from RNAcentral.
CACAUGCAAGUCGAACGAAGCAUUUAAGUGAAUCCUUCGGGGUGAAGCUUUUUGACUGAGUGGCGGACGGGUGAGUAACGCGUGGGUAACCUACCCUGUACAGGGGGAUAACAGUUAGAAAUGACUGCUAAUACCGCAUAAGCACACGCUGUCGCAUGACAGAGAGUGAAAAGAAUUUUUGGUACAGGAUGGGCCCGCGUCUGAUUAGCUAGUUGGCAAGGUAAAGGCUUACCAAGGCGACGAUCAGUAGCCGGCUUGAGAGAGUGAACGGCCACAUUGGAACUGAGACACGGUCCAAACUCCUACGGGAGGCAGCAGUGGGGAAUAUUGCACAAUGGGGGAAACCCUGAUGCAGCGACGCCGCGUGAAGGAUGAAGUAUUUCGGUAUGUAAACUUCUAUCAGCAGGGAAGAUAAUGACGGUACCUGACUAAGAAGCCCCGGCUAACUACGUG